This 5792-nucleotide long non-coding RNA is filed under the name Olea europaea subsp. europaea. The record is from RNAcentral. Lineage: Eukaryota; Viridiplantae; Streptophyta; Magnoliopsida; Lamiales; Oleaceae.
UGAGUUCAGUAACUACGUGCAUUUUCAUUUAUUUUCUUACUUUUUAGCUUAUUUAAAAAGCAACGGCUGAUCGAAGAAUGAUAAACCUUCUCAUUCUAAAAUUCUAGCUUCAAUCAUUAGUCUAACAAACAGAUCACUUACCAGCCACAGAGAAACUAUUUCAAACUAAGCUUCUAGUACCUUGGUUCAUUUAUCAGCUCAUUUCCUCGCGUGAAUGAAAAAACUCCCUUAUUCCUCAAAUGGUGUUGUUUCAUUGAAAUUAAAUUCUAAAAAGAAGUAAUUGGAAGGUGUCAGUUUUUAGUUGUGCACACCAAUGUGUUUUACUGUUCUCCAGAGCUCACUGUUCAAACAGAUUACACCCAUAAGGUUAAGUGAAAAAUAAAUUAAUAGGAGAGACAUCACAGGAUAGCCAAUUACCUGGAAUGUCAAGGACAAUACAAUCAAGUACACACAAACACAAAAUAUAUAUCACCACUGAGCCUCUUGUGGCUAAUCUCAAGCAAAUGUAACAUUAAAGCUUUCGAAGUGGAAGCAUAGUGAUGCAGCACCAAUGAAACAGUUAAUUGAGAAAUAAAACAGAUCUAUGGGGAGGGAGAAUUAGAGAGGGAAAGGGAAGGGGAUUCAACAGAAGAGAAGAAAGGCAACAAGAAGAGAGAAAACACCAUAAGCCACCAAAAAUGUUCAUUCAUCAUCAACUGAAAAUUAUAAUACAAAAUAGGUUUAAAUAGUUAAACAACCCUAACAAGUUUGGCCCCGAGCCCAUACAAGUCCAAAUCUUAAGUAAUAGUCCAAAAGAUAAAUAAAGCGUAAAUAAAAUAAGUAGUGUCCGAUGUCACGUCCGAUGUCCUCAUCAACUCUCCCGGGGUAGGAGAAAACUCGACCCUGUCGAGUGGAUAUAUCACUCUAGGCUGUCAUCAUCUCCCAACCAUAAGCUGAGUGGUUAGGCAAAUUUCUUUCGACGUCUGUAAAAAUGUGUCAAUGGAGGUCUGAAUCUGGUGUCCUCGCUAACUCCCCUCGGGUGGACAGGAGGCGAUCUGGGCCAAGGAAGAUUUGCUGACUCCGAUAAAACUCCAAUAAAUUUGGAUCCAAUUGCUGUAGUGUCUCCCUGGAGAUCCAUGCACAGUCAGAAUCUGGUUGACCAACCCAACGAACAAGGAAGCGCUGAACCUCUCCAUCAUUAGUAAACACAGUUUCUUCAUUUAAAAUAGCAUCAAUUUUUUCUUUGUGUGCUGUGAGAGGUGGUAGGGGGUUAGAAGGGGCCAAAGAAUCAGGAUCAAGGUCCACAAAAGGAGGUGACAGAAGAUCAUCUGAGGGAAUGAAAUGGCCUUUAUAAGCUACAAGGUCCUCAACAUUGAAAGUAGAGUGAUAACCAAGGUGUUGUGGAAUGUCAACAAUAUAUGUAUUUGGACCAAUCUGCUUUAAAAUUUUAAAAGGAUCAACACUACGAGCUUGCAAUUUGGAGGCGGAUCCAUGUAGACGACGCUCUGGCCUAAUGCGAACCAUAACGUAAUCCCCAAUGUGAAACUCAAUAUGUCGUUUGUGUAAAUUAGCUUGGAGUUUAUACUUUGCAUUACUAGCUUCAAGUUGUUUAUUGAUCUCAAUAUGCAAGUCACGAAGAUGAUGUGUAAAUGCUUCGACUGAUACUGACACUCUAGCCUGAGGGGACAUAGGGAUGAGAUCUAAUGGUUUCCUAGGCUUGUACCCAUGAACGGCUUCAAAUUGACUCAUACCUAAUGAACGAUUUAUAGAGUUAUUAUACGCAAUUUGAGCUACAGGAAGGAUCAAAUCCCAAUUUCGAAGAUUUUUUCGGACCAGACAACGAAAUAGGUUACCAAGACUUCGAUUAACUAUUUCAGUUUGACCGUUAGUCUGAGGGUGGUAGGCCGUAGAAAAUUUCAAUUUGGUACCCAUCUUAUGCCACAAAGUUCUCCAAAAGUGGCUAGUGAAACGAACGUCCCUAUCAGACACGAUGGUUUUGGAAAGCCCAUACAAUUUGACAAUUUCAUUAAAGAAUAACAUGGCAACCUUGGACGCAUCCGACGUCUUGCUACAGAGGAUAAAAUGAGCCAUCUUUGAGAAGCGAUCAACAACCACAAAAAUGGAAUCAUGUUUCUUUGGGGUGCGUGGAAGUCCUAACACAAAAUCCAUACUAAUAUCGUGCCAAGGACAAUUGGGGACAGGGAGGGGGGUGUAUAGACCUGUGUUCUGCUUCUUCUGCUUACUCAAUUGACAAGUAUUACAAGUACUAAUAAUCUUAGCCACGUCUUUCUUCAAGCUAGGCCAAUAGAAUUGACGUUCAACUUCCUCAAUGGUCUUAUCACGUCCAAAGUGACCGGCUAACCCUCCCACAUGAAUUUUCCACACGACGAAAUCUCGCACUGAAGUACGAAGGAUGCACAAUUUAUUGACCCUAAAGAGAUAACCGUCUUCAAGUCGGAAGCCAUCUGUGGUACCUGAUUGUCUCCUUUGUAAAUCAAGAAAGAUAUCUUUAAAAUCGGGACAUGCCUCGUAAUCCUCCUUAAGUCUUUCAAAACCGAUGACCUUGACACUCAUGAUCGACAAAAGGGAGACACGACGACUUAAUGCAUCAGGUGCUUGGUUUUCGACGCCCUUCUUGUGUUUUAAAAUAAAUGAAUAGGCCUGCAAAUAUUCGACCCAACGACCAUGCCUAGAACUUAAUCUUUUCUGGGUGUUGAGGUAACGGAGGGCCUCGUGAUCCGAAUAAAGGACAAAUUCCUGGGGUAAUAAAUAGUGGCGCCAAUAGCGCAAAGCCUGAACCACUGCAUACAGCUUCUUAUCAUAAGUUGAGUACCGCUGUUUGGCUUCAUUUAACUUUUUACUGAAGUAAGCAACAGGGUGACGAUCCUCACUUAAGACUCCACCUAUACCUACCCCGGAGGCGUCACAUUCAACUUCAAAGACUUUGGAAAAAUCGGGAAGACGCAUGACAGGAGCCUCCGUCAUUCGCUUCUUGACCAACUUAAAGGCCUUAGCCGCUUCUUGUGUCCAAUGAAACUCUCCUUUCCUCAUGCACUCCGUAAUAGGUGCCAUAAUAGUGUUAAAUCCCUUAAUAAAGCGACGGUAAAAUGUAGCUAAACCGUGAAAGCUCUUGACGUCAUAAAUAGCUGUAGGCUCAGGCCAGUCAAUAAUCGCCUGAACCUUAGCAGGGUCCGCAGAUACCCCUGCCGAAGAGAAAAUGAAUCCCAGAAAAACGACUGUAUCUGUGAAGAAAGAGUACUUCUUGAUGUUAGCAUAUAGAUUAGUUGCACGAAGGGUAGAGCAAACUUGUGUGAGCUGAUCAAGGUGUUGCUCCUUAGUCUUACUAUAGAUGAGGAUAUCAUCAAAGUAGACAACAAGAAAUUUUCCCAUGAAAGGUCAGAGAGUUUGUGUCAUUACUCGCAUAAAGGUGCUUGGCGCAUUACUUAGCCCAAAAGGCAUGACCAGCCAUUCAUAAAGACCAUUUUUCGUUUUAAACGCGGUCUUCCACUCAUCACCUGGGCGAAUUCGAAUCUGGUGGUAUCUACUUUUCAGAUCAAUCUUCGAAAAGAUUGUGGCACCAAUCAUCAUAAACGAUACUUCACCGUAAUCCUAUUGAUCGCACGACUGUCCACACACAUCCUCCAAAAAUCAUCCUUUUUGGGCGUCAAUAGGCCGGGGACAGCACACAGACUUAAACUCUCAUGAAUGAAUCCUUUGUGAAGGAAGUCAUCCACUUGCUUUUGAAGUUCAGCGUGCUCAGUAGGAUUCAUCCUAUAAUGAGGCAAAUUUAGGAGGGAUGCCCCUGGGACGAAAUCUAUGACAUGUUGAAUAUCCCUUAGUGGAGGUAGAUGGUCAGGUAGGUCUUUCGGAAAGACGUCUCAAAACUCUAGGAGGACCGACAAGACUUCAACAGGGCUCUCUAUUGUGGAGUGGGAUGGAACUUCCAUGACCACCAAAACGAACACAAUUGAGUCGCCAACAAGUGUACGCUCAAACUCCGUAGGACUAAUGAUGUGCAAUUCCUUUCGUUCCACACUUUUCUUCGUUUCCAGUGAGCCAGGCUUUGGGGGCAGUGGGUUAAGGUGAAUCUUCUUUCCAUUAAACACGAAGAAGCAGGAAUUGGAUCGACCAUAAAUGGUUACAUCUAGGUCAAAUAACCAAAGUCGUCCCAAGAUGAUGCGCCCGACAUCCAUUGAAAUAAAGUCACACCAUAUAUGAUCCUUAUACUCGAGAAAUUGGAUAGGGACUAAACAACGCUCCUUGACAGCUAUGGAGGAGGUAUCAACCCAAGAGACGCUGUAUGGCUGAGGGUGAGGAACAGACUUCAAUCCUAGAUGGGAUACAGUAGCCAUCGAAACCGUAUUAAUGCAGCAGCCACUAUCCACGAUAACUUUACAGCCCUUAUUAUUAAUCUUGAUGUAAGUGUGAAAGAUGGCAUGACGACGCCAAUCAUCGGCAUCCCUAGGCUGGGUAAGAGUACAACGGACGACACCAACUCUAGGCGUAUGUGGGAUAAGAGGACUAGCCUGAAUACAACCCAAGAAGGUAUCCUCACUAUCCUCCAAGUCAUCAAACUCUUCUAACUUAGGCUCAUAAACCUGAUCCUCUAGUGGCUCGUCAACUAUAUCCUCACGCUCUUCCAAAACUAGGGCUCGGCUAGGACACUUAGAAGCAAUGUGACCAAAAUCCUUACAGUUGAAAUAUUGCAAACGAGAGGACGUUCUUGAAAUCUCAGAACCUCUACCUUUACUAUCCGAUGUAGGGAUAGUAUUAGGAGGAGGAGGUCCUAGAAUAGAUUUAGGGGAUGGAGUGGAUGCAGAAGAGGUUGCAGUGCGGGAGUCACUACGACUUCUGCACGGUGUCCUAGUCACUAACUCGUAAUCCCGAACGAAAGAGUAGGCGUGGUCAAGAGUGGUGACACCUCUAAGAACAAGUUCACGUCUAAGAUCAUCUCGUAGGCCUUGUCUAAACCUACUCAAGGUCAUGACUUCAUCCUCAACGACCUGACAUCUCAUUCGAAACUCGUCAAACUGAGCAACAUAUUUGGUCACAGGUCAACUGCCUUGCGUAAGUGCGUUCCAUUGAUCCAACAAGUUGCCCUUAUAAGAUUGAGGUAAAUAUUUUUCUUCAAGGCGGCGCUUCAUUUCAUCCCAGUUCCCAACAGGGGGAGCAUGACGCCUCUCUAGGAGGUCCUCAACACUUUUCCAAAACAGUUGAGCUGUGCCAGUUAAUUUCAAACUGGCAAAUUGUACCCUCCGAUCUUCAGGGACCCCAUACCAGGUAAAGAAGCGAUUCAUAUCUCUAACCCAUUGAUUGAAUACACUAGGAUCUAGACAACCAUCAAAUGUAGGGACAUCUAACUUGAUAUUUCGAAAGAGGCGCUCCUCGUGGCGAGGGGGAGAUAGUGUACCAUGAUGGUGAUAUUCCCGCUCGCGUCCAUGAGCUUGAUUUCCCUCCCUACGAUCAUGUCUAGCAUGGUGUCAACCACCUUGUGGACGACGAUGAGAUCUAUUAAUGGAAGCGUCAGAAUUUUCAGCUUCAGUUGAGUAUUGGGUAGGGUCAAGAGUGUUUACCCUAGCGGUUAGGGCUCUAUUCUCUUCACGAGUAGCGACUAACUCAGUUUGGACAGCCGUUAAUUGGUUUUGUAAUUGUGCCAACUGUUGGGUGAUUGCUUCAAUGUGGGAAGGGUCCAUGGUAAGGGUACUAGCGCUAGACGCAGCUGCAUUAAGGAGUUGGGCUGGAAUUGAUAGUUAUUGGGCUUGGAAAUUUGUUGUAAUUGAGUUAGAUAGGUUGGUUAUAUAUUGAAAAUACAU